GCACAAGCGGUGAGUAUGUGGUUUAAUUCGACGCAACGCGCAGAACCUUUACCUGGUCUUGACAUCCCGAGAAUUUUCUGGAAACAGAGAAGUGCCUCGCAAGAGGAAUUCGGAGACAGGUGCUGCAUGGCUGUCGUCAGCUCGUGUCGUGAGAUGUUGGGUUAAGUCCCGCAACGAGCGCAACCCUCAUUGUUAGUUACUACCAUUCAGUUGAGGACUCUAAUGAGACUGCCAACGACAAGUUGGAGAAGGUGGGGAUGACGUCAAAUCAUCAUGCCCUUUAUGACCUGGGCUACAAACGUACUACAAUGGCCAAUACAAAGAGAUGCGAAGCGGUGACGUGAAGCGAACCUCAGAAAGUUGGUCUCAGUUCAGAUUGAAGUCUGCAACUCGACUUCAUGAAGGCGGAAUCGCUAGUAAUCGCGGGUCAGCAGACCGCGGUGAAUACGUUCCCGGGUUUU
RNAcentral lists this ribosomal RNA (461 nucleotides) under uncultured Mollicutes bacterium. RNAcentral's name for it is "bacterial SSU rRNA". It matches the Rfam family "Bacterial small subunit ribosomal RNA", at positions 923 to 1382 of the family's 1533-position model. The record is from RNAcentral. Lineage: Bacteria; Bacillati; Mycoplasmatota; Mollicutes.